This 90-nucleotide transfer RNA is filed under the name bacterium. RNAcentral's name for it is "tRNA-Ser". It matches the Rfam family "tRNA". Rfam says of the family: Transfer RNA (tRNA) molecules are approximately 80 nucleotides in length. Their secondary structure includes four short double-helical elements and three loops (D, anti-codon, and T loops). The record is from RNAcentral. RNAcentral also lists the same sequence under 2 other names.
GGGGAGAUGCCUGAGUGGUUGAAAGGGCAUUCCUGGAAAGAAUGUAGGCUGCGUCAAGCGGUCUCGGGGGUUCGAAUCCCCCUCUCCCCG